GACGGACGCUGGCGGCGUGCCUAAUACAUGCAAGUUGAGCGCUGAAGGUUGGUACUUGUACCCACUGGAUGAGCAGCGAACGGGUGAGUAACGCGUGGGUAAUCUGCCUUUGAGCGGGGGACAACAUUUGGAAACGAAUGCUAAUACCGCAUAAAAACUUUAAACACAAGUUUUAAGUUUGAAAGAUGCAAUUGCAUCACUCAAAGAUGAUCCCGCGUUGUAUUAGCUAGUUGGUGAGGUAAAGGCUCACCAAGGCGAUGAUACAUAGCCGACCUGAGAGGGUGAUCGGCCACAUUGGGACUGAGACGCGGCCCAAACUCCUACGGGAGGCAGCAGUAGGGGAUCUUCGGCCAUGGACGAAAGUCUGACCGAGCAACGCCGCGUGAGUGAAGAAGGUUGUCGGAUCGUAAAACUCUGUUGGUAGAGAAGAACGUUGGUGAGAGUGGAAAGCUCAUCAAGUGACGGUAACUACCCAGAAAGGGACGGCUAACUACGUG
RNAcentral lists this ribosomal RNA (497 nucleotides) under uncultured bacterium. RNAcentral describes it as "partial 16S ribosomal RNA". It matches the Rfam family "Bacterial small subunit ribosomal RNA", at positions 28 to 507 of the family's 1533-position model. The record is from RNAcentral.